This 69-nucleotide transfer RNA is filed under the name Saccostrea kegaki. RNAcentral describes it as "tRNA-Val". The record is from RNAcentral. Lineage: Eukaryota; Metazoa; Mollusca; Bivalvia; Ostreida; Ostreidae.
CGGAAAAUAGUAUAAGCUUAUUACCAGGUGCUUACAACACUUAAAUAGAAAAAUUUUUUCUUUUUCCGA